AAGUCGUAACAAGGUUUCCGUAGGUGAACCUGCGGAAGGAUCAUUACAGUGAUAGUAUCGGCUCGGAAACUGCGCAAGCAGCCGGGCCGCACUACUAGCCAUCCUUGUGCUGUGUCAUGUUGUAUGGAUGUGCCGCCUUUAUUGGGGGUGCGUCCUGCUUUUUCACCACUCUUUUACCAUGUUUUUCUGAUACUCGCUCGCAUGAGCACAAACAACCGAAAACUGCCAGCAAUGGAUCACUCGGUUCUC
Molecule: unclassified non-coding RNA, 249 nt
Filed under: fungal sp.
Lineage: Eukaryota; Fungi
Description: partial internal transcribed spacer region
Rfam family: Eukaryotic small subunit ribosomal RNA (bases 1-46)
Source: RNAcentral